This 429-nucleotide ribosomal RNA is filed under the name uncultured archaeon. RNAcentral's name for it is "bacterial SSU rRNA". It matches the Rfam family "Archaeal small subunit ribosomal RNA", at positions 474 to 903 of the family's 1478-position model. The record is from RNAcentral.
UACCAGCUCUCCGAGUGGUGUGGAUGUUUAUUGGGCCUAAAGCAUCCGUAGCUGGCUGGGCAAGUCCCCUGUUAAAUCCACCGAUUUAAUCGUUGGAGUGCGGGGGAUACUGCUCGGCUAGGGGGCGGGAGAGGCAGACGGUAUUUUCGGGGUAGGGGUGAAAUCCUAUAAUCCCGAGAAAACCACCAGUGGCGAAGGCUGUCUGCUAGAACGUGCCCGACGGUGAGGGAUGAAAGCUGGGGGAGCGAACCGGAUUAGAUACCCGGGUAGUCCCAGCUGUAAACGAUGCAGGCUAGGUGUUUGGACGGCCACGUGCCGUUCUAGUGCCGCAGGGAAGCCGUUAAGCCUGCCGCCUGGGGAGUACGGCCGCAAGGCUGAAACUUAAAGGGAUUGGCGGGGGAGCACCACAAGGGGUGAAGCUUGCGGUUU